This 497-nucleotide ribosomal RNA is filed under the name uncultured bacterium. RNAcentral's name for it is "partial 16S ribosomal RNA". It matches the Rfam family "Bacterial small subunit ribosomal RNA", at positions 28 to 507 of the family's 1533-position model. The record is from RNAcentral.
GAUGAACGCUGGCGGCGUGCCUAAUACAUGCAAGUCGAGCGAACGGACGAGAAGCUUGCUUCUCUGAUGUUAGCGGCGGACGGGUGAGUAACACGUGGAUAACCUACCUAUAAGACUGGGAUAACUUCGGGAAACCGGAGCUAAUACCGGAUAAUAUUUUGAACCGCAUGGUUCAAAAGUGAAAGACGGUCUCGCUGUCACUUAUAGAUGGAUCCGCGCUGCAUUAGCUAGUUGGUAAAGUAACGGCUUACCAAGGCAACGAUGCAUAGCCGACCUGAGAGGGUGAUCGGCCACACUGGAACUGAGACACGGUCCAGACUCCUACGGGAGGCAGCAGUAGGGAAUCUUCCGCAAUGGGCGAAAGCCUGACGGAGCAACGCCGCGUGAGUGAUGAAGGUCUUCGGAUCGUAAAACUCUGUUAUUAGGGAAGAACAUAUGUGUAAGUAACUGUGCACAUCUUGACGGUACCUAAUCAGAAAGCCACGGCUAACUACGUG